AAUCUAUCAACACUCCACAAUACUGUGCACAAACCAUGUUGGCCUCGCCUCACGAGCAGUGAGGUGUUGGUCUUUUGCCAACCAACCAACCCCUAACCGAAAACUCCCAUAAUUAGAGGGCGUAGCUUAGAGCUGCACCCUCACGAACCAAGACAACUCUCAACAACGGAUAUCUUGGCUCUCAGAUCGAUGAAGAACGCAGCGAAAUGCGAUACGUAGUGUGAAUUGCAGAAAUACGUGAAUCAUCGAAUCUUUGAACGCAUAUUGCGCUCGAGGCCUCGGCCAAGAGCAUGUCUGCCUCAGCGUCGGGUUAAAACUCAUCCAGACCACCCACAUGUGGUGGUUGUGCGAUGGAACUGGCUGUCCCGCAAUUUUGCUUGUACAUCAGGCAAAUAAAAGCGGGUCAGCUGAAGUACAGCUGUUGCUGAUGGACCCUACAAUGGGCCUCUACUGGGUAGGCAACUCGCUUGCUACAAUGCUUUAGUAGGUGGCUCUGGGACUGUGAGCAGCACGAAUCAGGAAAACUCGUCACGAGUUAAACCCCCUUUUUCUCGACCUGAGCUCAGGCAAGA
This 572-nucleotide small RNA is filed under the name Volvox capensis. RNAcentral describes it as "eukaryotic LSU rRNA". The stretch from base 155 to 308 matches the Rfam family "5.8S ribosomal RNA". The record is from RNAcentral. Lineage: Eukaryota; Viridiplantae; Chlorophyta; Chlorophyceae; Chlamydomonadales; Volvocaceae.